CUUUGAUCAUGGCUCAGGAUGAACUCUAGCUACAGGCUUAACACAUGCAAGUCGAGGGGAAACGAUAUUGGAAGCUUGCUUCCGAUAGGCGUCGACCGGCGCACGGGUGAGUAACGCGUAUCCAACCUGCCCAUCACUUGGGGAUAACCUUGCGAAAGUAAGACUAAUAUCCAAUGAUAUCUCUAGAAGACAUCUGAAGGAGAUUAAAGAUUUAUCGGUGAUGGAUGGGGAUGCGUCUGAUUAGCUUGUUGGCGGGGUAACGGCCCACCAAGGCGACGAUCAGUAGGGGUUCUGAGAGGAAGGUCCCCCACAUUGGAACUGAGACACGGUCCAAACUCCUACGGGAGGCAGCAGUGAGGAAUAUUGGUCAAUGGACGAGAGUCUGAACCAGCCAAGUAGCGUGCAGGAUGGUGGCCCUAUGGGUUGUAAACUGCUUUUAUAAGGGAAUAAAGUGAGUCUCGUGAGGCUUUUUGCAUGUACCUUAUGAAUAAGGACCGGCUAAUUCCGUGCCAGCAGCCGCGGUAAUACGGAAGGUCCGGGCGUUAUCCGGAUUUAUUGGGUUUAAAGGGAGCGUAGGCCGGAGAUUAAGCGUGUUGUGAAAUGUAGAUGCUCAACAUCUGCACUGCAGCGCGAACUGGUUUCCUUGAGUACGCACAAAGUGGGCGGAAUUCGUGGUGUAGCGGUGAAAUGCUUAGAUAUCAUGAAGAACUCCGAUUGCGAAGGCAGCUCACUGGAGCGCAACUGACGCUGAAGCUCGAAAGUGCGGGUAUCGAACAGGAUUAGAUACCCUGGUAGUCCGCACGGUAAACGAUGGAUGCCCGCUGUUGGUCUGAAUAGGUCAGCGGCCAAGCGAAAGCAUUAAGCAUCCCACCUGGGGAGUACGCCGGCAACGGUGCAACUCAAAUGAAUUGACGGA
RNAcentral lists this ribosomal RNA (916 nucleotides) under uncultured organism. Its description in RNAcentral is "bacterial SSU rRNA". It matches the Rfam family "Bacterial small subunit ribosomal RNA", at positions 11 to 917 of the family's 1533-position model. The record is from RNAcentral.